CGUCAAGGAGCCUAAAGAAUACUCAUAGCUAAGAAGUGCAAUUUUUUAAGACCAAAAACAACACAAAAUACAUUCCGGCAGGACUAUCAAGGUCUGAGACCAUGGACUUCCAGAGACUAAAAGCACGCACUUUCCUUCUGAAUGCUGACAAAUAAGUUUUUUUUUUUUUUUUUUUUACUGAGAUGGUCACAUAGCUGCUAGCCAAUAAACCAAGGAUUGGUGGAAAACAAACAAAAAGAGGGAGAAUGAAUGUGGGACUCCCAGGCAUUUGCAGGAGAUAUUGACAUUAUUUUAAGAAAUAUUGUGAUAACAAUGAAAUCAUAACCUUAAAACCUCAGGAAAUAUUAAGCAUUAAGUGAUGAAGGCAAGAAAAGAAGAAGAGAAUGCAUCAUAGGCAAAAUCAUAGGAAUUACAUAAAGUAGGAAAGUAAUAAAAGGGCAAAUUACACAGAAGAGAAGAAGCAAAAUCAACACAAGACAAGGACUUACUUUUUUAAAAAAUAAAGCACGCAAUCAGGACCAGAACUGCCUCAUUAAAGGGAUAAAAGAUGAUAUCUGCUGAGCUGGUGGAAACUGGUGGCUGCAUUUUUAUUAAAGUCUCUGCUGCAGCAGGCCCAGUCCCCAAAGGUUCAUAUUCCAAGACUCUCUACCCCCCCUGCCUGGAGCAUGUAAGUGUUUCUCUGUAACUCAUUAAAGUAAAA
Long non-coding RNA from Talpa occidentalis (Iberian mole), 700 nucleotides. RefSeq lists it as uncharacterized. NCBI's taxonomy places the organism in Eukaryota, Metazoa, Chordata, Mammalia, Eulipotyphla, Talpidae. The transcript has 3 exons. The record is from RefSeq and is a predicted model, not a curated record.